GGAAAGAGAGGGAUUCGACCC
This 21-nucleotide transfer RNA is filed under the name Timmia megapolitana. RNAcentral's name for it is "partial tRNA-Ser". Lineage: Eukaryota; Viridiplantae; Streptophyta; Bryopsida; Timmiales; Timmiaceae. RNAcentral also lists the same sequence under 1 other name. The record is from RNAcentral.